Molecule: long non-coding RNA, 2298 nt
Organism: Anguilla rostrata (American eel)
Lineage: Eukaryota; Metazoa; Chordata; Actinopteri; Anguilliformes; Anguillidae
Exons: 2
Source: RefSeq, a predicted model, not a curated record
CUGCUGUGUGGUGGUAGGUGUUAGAUAGCUAGUUUCUGGAUUUGAGAGCUCCAUGUUCUUAUAUUCUAAACUAAAGUUUUUCCCCAACAUGGAUUUGUCUGUUUAAGAAAAGGGUUUUUAAAUGCAAUGCCUCCAGUAAGCCAUGUAGCUUUGAGCUUCACCCUUCCGAAUGUUUAGCAUUCGAGGAAGACCAGGGCUGCCAGACGGGAAGCCUCCAUGCAGGUCAAAGCUCUGUGCUGUGGGAGAGCGCUCCUUUUCAUGAACCUUGGGACUGUAGCUGGGCUUGGCCUGCUGCUUUUUGAACUGGCACAUCUCCUGCGAUGAAGACACAUUAUGUACACCUAUGCAACGGAGUUCAGAAGUACCUUGUUUAUUCCUGCUUAUAUUUUGCCAGUCAGUCAGACUGUCCUUGUUUAUGCUGGAAAAACUGGCAGCAGUUGAUUGCAGAGUUGAGAGUUGAGUAGCAGCUGGAAAAUGGCAGAUCCCGUGGCUCUAAAGUACCAGAGCAGCAGAACCUGCCCCCUGCACCUCCUAAACCAUACCCUAGGGGGGGGGGAAAUGUGCUGGCUGGGUGGCUGGAGGGGUAUAUUUUACCCCGAAAUAUGGGGAUAUUGAAAAGGGGAAACGAAAUAAAAACCUGAGUUAAGUUUUGGUUUCCUUUUUGGUAUUUUUCCAUGAGCAGUGCUGAUGAAUACUGGACUUUAAGCAGGCUCAGGAACCACAGUCAUUCUGUGUGUGCCAACAGAAAGAAAGGCUUGUGGGACAUCAAAACGAACCCACAACAUUCAAGUUCUGUGCCACGGAUACUCGGUGCAAUAUUUGCUCUAAAUCCAAAGAAUGCUCCCUCCCGCGACAGAAGCCGAUUCACACACGCGAUACAGCGCGACACAAACCGCAGUCUGAACCAAGUGUUGAGCUUAGGUCCCAACUUCUCAAUAAGGAAAUCCUGCCAAUUACUACAGGUAGCAAGACCCUUUACUCAUCAAUAGGCAGUUGUGUGUCUCGCUGACUAAGAUUGUACUUUUUGUGUUUGUUCUCUGCUGUACCUCGUAAUUGGUCGAAAGUGGACCGAUCUGGGGGGGGGGUCACUGUUUUUACCUUUGGUCUGUGGCUGCAGUGAUUUACCCCAGGCAGGCUGUAAUAAAACGGGGCUGACAGGGUAAAAUGGGGCUGUGGGGUGGGGGGGGCUUGCUGUGUCCCAGCCUCAGAGGGGCACCUUGGUUUGGGCGAAGGGGGCGGGUUCAGUUUGGGCCCGGCUCCCGAGGGGAGAGGGCUGAGUCAGACACGCCGCGGCAGGACGCUGACGUCGCUCGAUAAUCCGCAGUUCACCGAGCGUCGGCACGGCAACCUUCAUUACCGUCACACCUGUCCUUCCCAGGCCAGUGCGCGCUGUGGAACAGACCUGUCUCACCAAACGGCCGGGCGUCGCCACAGCCCAAACCAGCUCGUCUGUAGUUCUCUACCCACUCCUGUGAUUCCUGCAAGCUCACAUUGAGGAAAACAGCCCACUGUCUAAAGAAAGACAGCCAAACUACCAGGGUCCACUCUGCACCCCAACUUAUUUUGCCUGUACCCAAACUUUCCCUGCCUCUAACACAACUCACCAUGUCUAUACCAAAAGUUACUGUCUGUGUUUAUCGGGUUAAUUAUUCUACAUUACUACAUUCGUGCAUUUACUAAUUUUAAGUAUAUGCUUGUGGACCAGAGCCAAGGAACGUGGAUUUCAAAAACAAUUUUAUUAAUCGCACACACAUAAUAUGUACAGGUGUACACACACAAAAGUUAACUACAAGUGAUUGCAGUUUAUUAAGCUUCUUAAACAGGAAUGUGUAAAAAAAAAAAAAAAAACUUUUCUUCUUGGCACGGUUCAGGUGCUGCAGUCUGAUUGGCUGACACGGCGCUAGGUCAGGGCCCAGCUCCUCUGCACUCCAAUAACUCUUCUCUCUGCUGGUUUUUUCUCUCUCUUUCUUUCUCUCUCUCUCUCUCACACACACUCAGGCACAUUCUCUCACACUGUCUGUCUCGCAAAUACACACACAUUCACACAUUCUCUCACACACACACUCUCUCACACACACUCCCCCUGUCUGUCUCACACAGUGUGUCUAUCUCUGUCUCACACACUCAUGCACAUUCUCUGUCUGUCUCUCACACACGCUCACUCUCAUAAACACUCAGGCUCUCUAGCUCAAACACACUCACACACACACACACGCUCUCUAGCUCAAACACACUCACACACGCACGUUCUUUCACACAAUCUCUCUAUGUCACUCUCACACACACACAGGCUCUCUA